UACGGAGGGCUCAAGCGUUGUUCGGAUUCAUUGGGCGUAAAGGGUGCGUAGGCGGCCAACUAAGUCAGACGUGAAAUCCCUCGGCUUAACCGGGGAACUGCGUCUGAUACUGGAUGGCUUGAGUUUGGGAGAGGGAUGCGGAAUUCCAGGUGUAGCGGUGAAAUGCGUAGAUAUCUGGAGGAACACCGGUGGCGAAGGCGGCAUCCUGGACCAACACUGACGCUGAGUGAGCGAAAGCCAGGGGAGCAAACGGG
Molecule: ribosomal RNA, 254 nt
Filed under: uncultured bacterium
Lineage: Bacteria
Description: partial 16S ribosomal RNA
Rfam family: Bacterial small subunit ribosomal RNA
Source: RNAcentral